RNAcentral lists this ribosomal RNA (404 nucleotides) under uncultured prokaryote. RNAcentral describes it as "bacterial SSU rRNA". It matches the Rfam family "Bacterial small subunit ribosomal RNA", at positions 355 to 776 of the family's 1533-position model. RNAcentral also lists the same sequence under 1 other name. The record is from RNAcentral.
UGGGGAAUAUUGGGCAAUGGGCGAAAGCCUGACCCAGCAACGCCGCGUGAGGGAAGAAGGUCCUCGGAUUGUAAACCUUUGUCUUAUGGGACGAUAAUGACGGUACCAUAGGAGGAAGCCACGACUAACUACGUGCCAGCAGUCGCGGUAAUACGUAGGUGGCGAGCGUUAUCCGGAAUUAUUGGGUGUAAAGGGUGCGUAGGCGGGAUGUAAAGUCAGAUGUGAAAUGCCGUGGCUUAACCACGGAGCUGCAUUUGAAACUUACAUUCUUGAGUGGAGUAGAGGUAAGCGGAAUUCCGAGUGUAGCGGUGAAAUGCGUAGAUAUUCGGAGGAACACCGGUGGCGAAGGCGGCUUACUGGGCUUUUACUGACGCUGAAGCACGAAAGUGUGGGGAGCAAACAGG